GCUAGCGGCGGAUGGGUGAGUAACACGUGGGCAAUCUGCCCUAAAGACUGGGAUACCACUUGGAAACAGGUGCUAAUACCGGAUAACAACAUGAAUCGCAUGAUUCAAGUUUGAAAGGCGGCGCAGGCUGUCACUUUAGGAUGAGCCCGCGGCGCAUUAGCUAGUUGGUGGGGUAAAGGCCUACCAAGGCAAUGAUGCGUAGCCGAGUUGAGAGACUGAUCGGCCACAUUGGGACUGAGACACGGCCCAAACUCCUACGGGAGGCAGCAGUAGGGAAUCUUCCACAAUGGACGCAAGUCUGAUGGAGCAACUCCGCGUGAGUGAAGAAGGUCUUCGGAUCGUAAAGCUCUGUUGUUGGUGAAGAAGGAUAGAGGCAGUAACUGGUCUUUAUUUGACGGUAAUCAACCAGAAAGUCACGGCUAACUACGUGCCAGCAGCCGCGGUAAUACGUAGGUGGCAAGCGUUGUCCGGAUUUAUUGGGCGUAAAGCGAGCGCAGGCGGAAUGAUAAGUCUGAUGUGAAAGCCCACGGCUCAACCGUGGAACUGCAUCGGAAACUGUCAUUCUUGAGUGCAGAAGAGGAGAGUGGAACUCCAUGUGUAGCGGUGGAAUGCGUAGAUAUAUGGAAGAA
This 629-nucleotide ribosomal RNA is filed under the name Lactobacillus delbrueckii subsp. lactis. RNAcentral describes it as "bacterial SSU rRNA". It matches the Rfam family "Bacterial small subunit ribosomal RNA", at positions 91 to 706 of the family's 1533-position model. The record is from RNAcentral. Lineage: Bacteria; Bacillati; Bacillota; Bacilli; Lactobacillales; Lactobacillaceae.